CCAGCUGCAGAUUGUUUGAAGCAAUAUUUUUAAAGUUUUCAAAGACUGAUGUAGUGAGUCUUUUGUGAGCAGGUCAUUACACUCACAGCUCACACUGCUACUCUGAAACCUGCAUUCAUGGCCGGAGAGAGAGAGCAGGGUUUUCUGGCCAUAAAGUGCGUUUCACAAGCUCGUGAGUGCACAUCGGCCGAAGGGAGAAUGAGAAAAGUUAUUUAUCCUUUACAGGUGAAGCGGAAACAUUCUUCCUUCUAGGCUGCGGGGCUCUGUGCCGUUGAUGUCCUGACUUGCGAGCAGAGUGGGAGGUAGCUGCUAAGGUUCUCCGAGUUCUCCCGGAGUUUGUUUGUGAUCGCAGCGCAUGUCUGAGUGAGUCAGGCCUCAGAAACGCACUUCAGCAACAUUUCAGCAAUCUGCAGUGCGAAAUCACCGCAAGCGUGUGGGACGGUACAAAGGAGCUGCUGAUCCACAUCCCACUAAUUAAAUGAGUGACCAAAGGAAAAACACCCUGUGGAUGAAAGAGGUCAGGAGAGAAUGAGGAGAGCUAAAGCCAGCCGGAAGUGCAAAAAUAACAGCUCAGGCAGAACUUGUCUCCUCUGAAAGUGGUUCUGGAGCUGAUCACGAGCUGACAUUUCACCGCAUGAACCCUCACCUGGACUCCAUGGAUACCAUCAUCUGGAACCAGCUGGGAUUUUUUCAGACUAUAUGGACUUGAACUGAAUUCGAAUUUAAUACUGAACUAACUUUAGCUUAAUGUUGCUGAGUGGAUCUUAGCAUGCGGCCCCAGCAACGACUCCUUCGGACUAUUUUUAUAUCUUCACUUAUUUAAAAUGAUAAAUUAAUGAUUAAUUUUGAACUAAUGUUAAUGUGUGUACAUUUUCAUGCACCCCGGUCACCCAGAGGAGGAUGGGGUCCCCUUUUGAGCCUGGUUCUUCUCAAGGUUUCUUCCUGCUAGAGGGAGUUUUUCCUUGCCACUGUCGCCUCAGGCUUGCUUGGUGGGGGUUCGGGCCGGUUACAUGUAAAGUGCUUUGUGACAAUUUGCUGUUAAAAGCACUAUAUAAAAUAAAAAUAAAUUGAACAUGUGUACCUAAUAAAGUGGGUCCCACCUGGUACUCGUUAGGCAUAGCUAAUAAAGUGGGUUAUGCUUGGUACUAACUAUGUGUACCUAAUAAAGUGGGUCAUGCCCGGCACUAACUAUGUGUACCUAAUAAAGUGGGUCCCACCAGGCACUCGUUAGGUAUAGCUAAUAAAGUGGACCCUACCCGGUACUAAGUAUGUGUACUUAAUAAAGUGAGUCCCACCUGGUACUAGCCAUGGAUGUGUACCUAAUA
This is a long non-coding RNA of Paramormyrops kingsleyae, 1325 nucleotides long. RefSeq lists it as uncharacterized. The record is from RefSeq and is a predicted model, not a curated record. Lineage: Eukaryota; Metazoa; Chordata; Actinopteri; Osteoglossiformes; Mormyridae.